RNAcentral lists this ribosomal RNA (468 nucleotides) under uncultured bacterium. Its description in RNAcentral is "partial 16S ribosomal RNA". It matches the Rfam family "Bacterial small subunit ribosomal RNA", at positions 28 to 507 of the family's 1533-position model. The record is from RNAcentral.
GACGAACGCUGGCGGCGUGCUUAACACAUGCAAGUCGAACGGAAAGGCCCUGCUUUUGUGGGGUGCUCGAGUGGCGAACGGGUGAGUAACACGUGAGUAACCUGCCCUUGACUUUGGGAUAACUUCAGGAAACUGGGGCUAAUACCGGAUAGGAGCUCCUGCUGCAUGGUGGGGGUUGGAAAGUUUCGGCGGUUGGGGAUGGACUCGCGGCUUAUCAGCUUGUUGGUGGGGUAGUGGCUUACCAAGGCUUUGACGGGUAGCCGGCCUGAGAGGGUGACCGGCCCACAUGGGACUGGAGUUACGGCCCGGACUCCUACGGGGGCAACAGUGGGGAAUUUUGCCACAAGGGCCGGAGGCUGAUGGCGCCAACCCCGGUGCGGGAUGGAGGCCUUUCGGUUGGAAACCGCUUUUCGCCGUUGACGAGGCUGGGGGGACGGUAUGGGGUAAGGAGGCACGGCUUAAUUAGUG